This 1554-nucleotide ribosomal RNA is filed under the name Escherichia coli. RNAcentral's name for it is "bacterial SSU rRNA". It matches the Rfam family "Bacterial small subunit ribosomal RNA". The record is from RNAcentral. Lineage: Bacteria; Pseudomonadati; Pseudomonadota; Gammaproteobacteria; Enterobacterales; Enterobacteriaceae.
AAAUUGAAGAGUUUGAUCAUGGCUCAGAUUGAACGCUGGCGGCAGGCCUAACACAUGCAAGUCGAACGGUAACAGGAAUCAGCUUGCUGAUUCGCUGACGAGUGGCGGACGGGUGAGUAAUGUCUGGGAAACUGCCUGAUGGAGGGGGAUAACUACUGGAAACGGUAGCUAAUACCGCAUAACGUCGCAAGACCAAAGAGGGGGACCUUCGGGCCUCUUGCCAUCGGAUGUGCCCAGAUGGGAUUAGCUAGUAGGUGGGGUAAAGGCUCACCUAGGCGACGAUCCCUAGCUGGUCUGAGAGGAUGACCAGCCACACUGGAACUGAGACACGGUCCAGACUCCUACGGGAGGCAGCAGUGGGGAAUAUUGCACAAUGGGCGCAAGCCUGAUGCAGCCAUGCCGCGUGUAUGAAGAAGGCCUUCGGGUUGUAAAGUACUUUCAGCGGGGAGGAAGGGAGUAAAGUUAAUACCUUUGCUCAUUGACGUUACCCGCAGAAGAAGCACCGGCUAACUCCGUGCCAGCAGCCGCGGUAAUACGGAGGGUGCAAGCGUUAAUCGGAAUUACUGGGCGUAAAGCGCACGCAGGCGGUUUGUUAAGUCAGAUGUGAAAUCCCCGGGCUCAACCUGGGAACUGCAUCUGAUACUGGCAAGCUUGAGUCUCGUAGAGGGGGGUAGAAUUCCAGGUGUAGCGGUGAAAUGCGUAGAGAUCUGGAGGAAUACCGGUGGCGAAGGCGGCCCCCUGGACGAAGACUGACGCUCAGGUGCGAAAGCGUGGGGAGCAAACAGGAUUAGAUACCCUGGUAGUCCACGCCGUAAACGAUGUCGACUUGGAGGUUGUGCCCUUGAGGCGUGGCUUCCGGAGCUAACGCGUUAAGUCGACCGCCUGGGGAGUACGGCCGCAAGGUUAAAACUCAAAUGAAUUGACGGGGGCCCGCACAAGCGGUGGAGCAUGUGGUUUAAUUCGAUGCAACGCGAAGAACCUUACCUGGUCUUGACAUCCACAGAACUUUCCAGAGAUGGAUUGGUGCCUUCGGGAACUGUGAGACAGGUGCUGCAUGGCUGUCGUCAGCUCGUGUUGUGAAAUGUUGGGUUAAGUCCCGCAACGAGCGCAACCCUUAUCCUUUGUUGCCAGCGGUCCGGCCGGGAACUCAAAGGAGACUGCCAGUGAUAAACUGGAGGAAGGUGGGGAUGACGUCAAGUCAUCAUGGCCCUUACGACCAGGGCUACACACGUGCUACAAUGGCGCAUACAAAGAGAAGCGACCUCGCGAGAGCAAGCGGACCUCAUAAAGUGCGUCGUAGUCCGGAUUGGAGUCUGCAACUCGACUCCAUGAAGUCGGAAUCGCUAGUAAUCGUGGAUCAGAAUGCCACGGUGAAUACGUUCCCGGGCCUUGUACACACCGCCCGUCACACCAUGGGAGUGGGUUGCAAAAGAAGUAGGUAGCUUAACCUUCGGGAGGGCGCUUACCACUUUGUGAUUCAUGACUGGGGUGAAGUCGUAACAAGGUAACCGUAGGGGAACCUGCGGUUGGAUCACCUCCUUACCUUAAAGAAGC